RNAcentral lists this ribosomal RNA (113 nucleotides) under Piliocolobus tephrosceles (Ugandan red Colobus). The record is from RNAcentral. Lineage: Eukaryota; Metazoa; Chordata; Mammalia; Primates; Cercopithecidae.
ACUUUAAGUUCUAGAACGCGCCCGAUCUCGUCUGAUCUCGGAAGCUAAGCAGGGUCGGGCCUGGUUAGUACUUGGAUGGGAGUCCAAUCCAUUCUUUAAGGCAACUGGAAGGC